Molecule: long non-coding RNA, 1408 nt
Organism: Solanum pennellii
Lineage: Eukaryota; Viridiplantae; Streptophyta; Magnoliopsida; Solanales; Solanaceae
Exons: 3
Source: RefSeq, a predicted model, not a curated record
AAUAUUAUAUUCUCUCCAACAUUUCUACUCUCCUUUCCAUUUUUAUUGGACAAAAAAAUAAUUUUUAAAAUAUUAGGAAAAACAAAUUGGGGCUUAGAGAGGAAGCUGAGCUGAAAAAUCCACACGAUUUUUACUCUCCAGAACAUAGGUGAAAAAUCCACACGAUUUCUCUUCUCCGGAACUUCAAAUCGACUGAAGCAGAGCUGAAAAUCGAAGAGAGGGAGCUGAAAGUCGGAGGAGCUGAAGAGAAGAAGCUGAAGACUGAAGCUGAUCUGAAAAUCGGAGGAGCUGAAAUGAUCCUAUUCUCCAAAAUCGGAGGAGCUUAAAACUGGAGGAGCUGAGCUGAGCAGAUGUUGACCAACUGAUUCUACCCUCCAAGCUUUGUUAGUAUUCUUUGUUAAUGAGCUGUUCCGUUGGAUUUCACAGAUGAACAAAAUGCUUCACACAUGAACACACCUCACUUCUUGGGUUGUUACAACAGUGUUUAUAAGAGAACAUGAGCAAGAGGUAAAUAAUCAGCAAUGAAGAUCUAAAUAGAGCAAGGACAAGAGUCAUUGUCAAAACUUCUCUCAAUGGUUUGAAACUCGUUCUUUGCAACAGGAUGUGCCUGAUUUGAUAAAAAAGUUUUCUAGAGGACAAAAUUCUGUUGCCUCAACUACAAGUUUUUCAAGUUCAAAGGAUAAAAAUCCGAUUGCUGUAAAUUCGACUUAUCAUGGUAAAAUAGUUGAUAUUGUUGAGCUAUACUAUUACGGCCAUUUUAAGGUUGCUCUAUUUAAAUGUGAUUGAUAUGAGGUUGAAAAUGAUACUUAUGGCCUUACUUAUGUUACUUUAACAAGAGAUUCUCUCAAGAGGAGCCUUUUGUUCUUGGAUCUCAAGUACACCAAUGUUUCUAUGUGCAAGAUCCAUAUGAUCAACAUAAACAUUAUGUUAUGAAGAGACUGUUCCGAGAGAUUUGUUUAACAUGAGUGAUCAAGUCGAAUCUAGUCUCUCACAAAGUUAUAAAAAUGAGCCAUCUGUAUAUUCAGUGGGACCAUCUACACCAAAAGAUAAUAGUGAAGUUCUCUUAACAAGGGCUAAUUUCCAGAAACAGUUAUUGAUGUGUCUUUGGAAGAAUUUAUUACUCAACAACUUGAAGAUGAGUAUGAAGAGGAAUUUGAAGAUGAGGUUGAAGACGAGGCUGAAGAUGAGUCUGAAGAUGAGCUUGAAGAUGAGUCUGACGAAGAGUUUGAAGAUGACACACCAUAAGUUUAAUUAUUUGUGUUAUGACUAUGUGGCGCUCACUUACUGUUUUGUUAUUUAAUUUUUUUUUUGUCUACAAACACAUUAAGAUAUGUAACAUGUGGAAUCGAAGAUUAUAUAUCUACAAUCUUUCAGUAUUCUAUUGGAAUAUUUUCAGUUUUAUACAUUA